UAAUACAGAGGGGGCAAGCGUUAUUCGGAAUUAUUGGGCGUAAAGGGCGCGUAGGCGGCUUUUCAAGUGACGGGUGAAAUCCCUCGGCUUAACCGAGGAACUGCCUGUCAGACUGGAAGGCUUGAGACCGGGAGAGGUGAGUGGAAUUCCCAGUGUAGCGGUGAAAUGCGUAGAUAUUGGGAGGAACACCAGUGGCGA
RNAcentral lists this ribosomal RNA (198 nucleotides) under uncultured bacterium. RNAcentral describes it as "partial 16S ribosomal RNA". It matches the Rfam family "Bacterial small subunit ribosomal RNA", at positions 521 to 718 of the family's 1533-position model. The record is from RNAcentral.